This 968-nucleotide long non-coding RNA is filed under the name Heterocephalus glaber (naked mole-rat). Its description in RNAcentral is "lncRNA (ENSHGLG00000050748.1)". The record is from RNAcentral. Lineage: Eukaryota; Metazoa; Chordata; Mammalia; Rodentia; Bathyergidae.
GGGGAGUCAAGAAAAGUAGAGCUAGACUGAGAUCUUCCUGGUUGUCUCCCAGCCCAGUGAACCUCCCUGGGGGCCACAGCUACACAAAGAAGGGAAGAAGAGAAGGGAGCAUAGAAAAGAGGGCACUUGGCUGCUCAGCACCCCUGAGUAGAUAUGAGCAAGAAAAGGCCCUGGGCUACCCUGGGAUGAAGAGUGUGGGGUUGGUAGGCUUAGCCAAGUCGAAGCCCAGCCUCACUGCCUGCACUGGACCCUCCCUUCUCUGUGACCACACUGUGACCUUGCUGACACGUGCCUCCCUUCCCUGCCCUCUCCAAACCCUGGCCCAAACACAAAACAGGCUAAGAAGCAAAGAACAAAUGUUCCUGGACUACGACAUUGUCUGUCGCCCGCCUGUCCAGCGCCUGCUCAGCAGGAAACCCAGAACAAAGGCUUUGGUCAGAGUGAGGAGGAUAAAGGGCAAAGGAGGCACACAUAAGGGGAAGAGAUGAUCCCAGAAAGAGACCCUAGAACAAAGAUAGAGACCCAGAGGAAUUGGAGAGACAAACAGGCCAAGAGAGGACUGCCACGAGCCCCAAACCCAGAAUGACUUGCCUGACAGCCCUCCCUGUGGUCUGACCCGAAUCCUACCCGGUGCACUGCAGGCCCCUCUCUACAACUCCCUCUCCCCAACCUUUGGAGGGUGACUCAGAGAGCCCCCAGCCUCCCAGCCUCCCCACCUCUCUCGGUGAUUCAUCUGGGUCUUUUCCCUCCGGGGAGCAAUUUCCUCAGCAUUGAGUCACCGAGCUGGACACAGUCCAGGCACCUGGCACAGGCUUGGCAGAGUCCUGGCUGUCCCUCUAGCCCAUGCUAGAAUUCUCACUUUUCUUUCAAAUACCUUCAGUGACUCCCUACCCUCAACACAAUAAAGACAUGCCUGUCUUCCACAACUCAACCCUGACUUGUUGAUUCCAGUUCUGACCCACCCCCAC